This 231-nucleotide unclassified non-coding RNA is filed under the name Hevea brasiliensis (rubber tree). The record is from RNAcentral. Lineage: Eukaryota; Viridiplantae; Streptophyta; Magnoliopsida; Malpighiales; Euphorbiaceae.
GAGAGUGAAGUGGGUGUGAUUGAAAGUGGUGUUGGCUGAUUGCUGAGUGCAUGUAGAAUUGGAGAGGUCCGACCGCGACAGAAUCAUAGUCUGGCUGAUUUGGUCCAGUUGGAUGACUCUAUAACUCAGCGAGUUAAUCGUUAGAAGAGUGAUGGAAUCGUCGACACAAGUUAGUUGGAAACCAGGAAAGCCGCAGGAGGCAGGACGUGGGCCGCCAGAGAAAGGGUAGUA